Molecule: ribosomal RNA, 372 nt
Filed under: Pelobates cultripes (western spadefoot toad)
Lineage: Eukaryota; Metazoa; Chordata; Amphibia; Anura; Pelobatidae
Description: partial 12S ribosomal RNA
Rfam family: Bacterial small subunit ribosomal RNA
Source: RNAcentral
ACUUUGAUAACUUACAAUUCUCUCCGCCAGGGAACUACGAGCGCUAGCUUAAAACCCAAAAGACUUGGCGGUGCCCUACACCCACCUAGAGGAGCCUGUUCUAUAAUCGAUACCCCCCGCUUUACCUCACCAAUUUUUGCCAAAUCCGCCUGUAUACCGCCGUCGCCAACUUACCCUUUGAAGGUCAAAAAGUAAGUAUAAUGGUCUCUCACCAGAACGUCAGGUCAAGGUGCAGCGAAUGAAUUGGAUAGAAAUGGGCUACAUUUUCUACUUUAGAAAAUACGGAAAAUCACUAUGAAACCUGAUUAGAAGGCGGAUUUAGCAGUAAAAAGAAACCAGAACGUUCUUUUUAAUCUGGCCCUAGGGCGCGCA